This 259-nucleotide ribosomal RNA is filed under the name uncultured bacterium. RNAcentral's name for it is "partial 16S ribosomal RNA". It matches the Rfam family "Bacterial small subunit ribosomal RNA", at positions 527 to 779 of the family's 1533-position model. The record is from RNAcentral.
CGGAGGUGCAAGCGUUAAUCGGAAUUACUGGGCGUAAAGACGCACGCAGGCGGUUUGUUAAGUCAGAUGUAGAAACGUCCCCGGGCUCAACCGUGGGAACUGCAUUUAGAAACUGGCAAGCUAGAGUCUCGUAGGAGGGGGUAGAAUUCCAGGUGUAGCGGUGAAAUGCGUAGAGAUCUGGAGGAAUACCGGUGGCGAAGGCGGCCCCCUGGACGAAGACUGACGCUCAGGUGCGAAAGCGUGGGGAGCAAACAGGAUU